AGCGAACGCUGGCGGCAGGCUUAACACAUGCAAGUCGAGCGGGCAUCUUCGGAUGUCAGCGGCAGACGGGUGCGUAACACGUGGGAACGUACCCUUCGGUUCGGAACAACUCUGGGAAACUGGAGCUAAUACCGGAUACGCCCUUAUGGGGAAAGGUUUACUGCCGAAGGAUCGGCCCGCGUCUGAUUAGCUAGUUGGUGGGGUAACGGCCUACCAAGGCGACGAUCAGUAGCUGGUCUGAGAGGAUGAUCAGCCACACUGGGACUGAGACACGGCCCAGACUCCCACGGGAGGCAGCAGUGGGGAAUAUUGGACAAUGGGCGCAAGCCUGAUCCAGCCAUGCCGCGUGAGUGAUGAAGGCCUUAGGGUUGUAAAGCUCUUUUGUCCGGGACGAUAAUGACGGUACCGGAAGAAUAAGCCCCGGCUAACUUCGUG
RNAcentral lists this ribosomal RNA (435 nucleotides) under uncultured bacterium. RNAcentral's name for it is "partial 16S ribosomal RNA". It matches the Rfam family "Bacterial small subunit ribosomal RNA", at positions 29 to 507 of the family's 1533-position model. The record is from RNAcentral.